RNAcentral lists this ribosomal RNA (342 nucleotides) under Triticum aestivum (bread wheat). RNAcentral describes it as "partial small subunit ribosomal RNA". Lineage: Eukaryota; Viridiplantae; Streptophyta; Magnoliopsida; Poales; Poaceae. The record is from RNAcentral.
AUGCAACCAGAACAAAAGAAAGCUAGAAUAGAAAAAAUUAUAGUUAACCGUGAAUUGAGAAGCUUCAAAGAUUCAAUUGCGAUGGAGAACUCUGCAUAUAUCGCAACCGAAUAGGAAGUUGGUACUUCUACCUUUCCUGUCAAACACAAAAAGCAUGUGACGCCAGGAGAAAGACAAACAUUGCUACACCGUCGUAACAAAGAAUUCAUGACAAGAUGGAUGAAAUUUUUUUCUGUAUCACCAGAAGAAGAUGCAUCCAUAACGGAAACAGGCAGUGAUGACAUAGAACCUCUACAGCAACCAAAAGUCAUGAUUUACGGUAAUGCUCUAAAUUUAAUAUAG